UACAGAGGUCCCAAGCGUUGUUCGGAUUCACUGGGCGUAAAGGGUGCGCAGGUGGUUUGGCAAGUUUGACGUGAAAGCCCCGGGCUUAACCCGGGAAUGGCGUUGAAAACUGCUUGAACUGGAGGGUUGGAGGGGGGACGUGGAAUUCUUGGUGUAGCAGUGAAAUGCGCAGAUAUCGGGAAGAACACCCGUGGCGAAGGCGGCUCUCUGGGACGGUACUGACGCUGAGACGCGAAAGCGUGGGGAGCGAACAGG
Molecule: ribosomal RNA, 255 nt
Filed under: uncultured bacterium
Lineage: Bacteria
Description: partial 16S ribosomal RNA
Rfam family: Bacterial small subunit ribosomal RNA
Source: RNAcentral